CAGGUUUCUGUCGACAUUACAGUUUCUGAAAAAUACAAUAGUAAGCUUUACUACACGUUAUAAAUGUAUAUUCAAUGUAUAUAAAAAAAAAUAACAAUUCUUCUAUAGAAAAUAUAAAUUUAACUUCAAAAUGUAUAAGAAAAAAAAACACUUCAGACUUAUCCCACUUCUGACACCAAUUGUCACGGACGGACGGAUGGAGAAGUCUUUCAGUGCUAUUUUACAAUAUUGACAAAAGAAUCAACGAUUAGAAUAAAUAAAUUAUUUAAUAAACAAACAAAAAAAAUAAACAAUUAAGAAGAAAAAAUACAUCAAAUUAUUAUAAACAUUAAAGUCCAAAUAAAUAGUCCAACAGCUUCAGUAGUUUGUAUUGUAUAUCCAGAUUACUUCCCUUUAUAUCGUUAUGACGGUUAUGGUAUCGUUAUGACGGUUAUGGUAUCGUGCACGACAGUUCCACUAUAAUAUGUAGAUAUGUUGUUUGAUGAAUUAUCAUGUAUGAUUGCGUUCAAUCUGUAUGACCACUCCUUAACACCGCAGCAUUGUAUUACUCUGGUGCAGGCUGGAACCUGGUAAUAAUAUAAUUGUACAAACUCUUUAGUACGAUUAUCAAUUUAGAUAUGCAUUUUACUUGCACGUUCAUGCAACAUAAACAUGAACUCUAUAAUCUCACGUUCAUAAAAUGAACAUAUAUAUUCUAUUAAUUUACAUAGAUAAAUACGCACAUACAUUUUAUAUGUAGCAAAAUGUGUCAUACUGUAAUAAAUAUCAUAAUUUGCAUGAUAGUUUCACGUACAUAAGGAAAUUCGGAACCUUGUA
RNAcentral lists this long non-coding RNA (816 nucleotides) under Mytilus galloprovincialis (Mediterranean mussel). The record is from RNAcentral. Lineage: Eukaryota; Metazoa; Mollusca; Bivalvia; Mytilida; Mytilidae.